UACAGAGGGUGCGAGCGUUGUUCGGAAUUACUAGGCGUAAAGCGUGUGUAGGUGGCUGCGAAAGUCGGAUGUGAAAGCCCUGGGCUCAACUCAGGAAGUGCACCCGAUACUGCGUAGCUCGAGUACCGGAGAGGUUGGUAGAAUUCUCGGUGUAGAGGUGAAAUUCGUAGAUAUCGAGAGGAAUACCUGUGGCGAAGGCGGCCAACUGGACGAGUACUGACACUGAGACACGAAAGCGUGGGGAGCAAACAGG
RNAcentral lists this ribosomal RNA (253 nucleotides) under uncultured bacterium. Its description in RNAcentral is "partial 16S ribosomal RNA". It matches the Rfam family "Bacterial small subunit ribosomal RNA", at positions 524 to 776 of the family's 1533-position model. The record is from RNAcentral.